AUUAAAGCCAAGGAGAGCAUCUCCGUUUUGAAAAGGAAAUCGGAAGCGCGUGGCUGCUGACCUCCAAAGAGCUGCUUCCAUUUCACAUUUACAAGUGGAGCGCCACAAUCCAGAUGUAGGGCUCGUUGCUCCAGAAGAUCAGCAGCCUUAGCGGGGUUCACCUGCGGAACCAUGGUGGCUGGGAAGAAAGCAGGCUCCUUGGCAGCGGUGCACAGGGCUGCGGGGCUGUGCUUGGACGAGUCGAGUCUGUACACGGGUGGGUCAUGACCAUCGCUCCCUAAGAAAGAGCCGAGGUCAGAGACCUCACUUGUGGAAAUUGCCUUGCUUGGUCCCCAGCUGUUGGAGUAACUCAGCUUGCGGGGCUGGAUCUCAACGCAGACUGCUCCGAGGUCUCGUUUUCCGGUCAGUAGCCACAAGGCCCCUGCUGUUGUGCUCACUCCAUGGAGACAUGCUACGGACACAGCGAGACGGGACCAGCCCUGUCUCCCCCUGACUUCACCACACAGCCAUGUGGUCUUGCCAAAGCCCCAAAGCCACGACGUCUAGGGCCCCUGUUUCCUGCUGCCCACUCCAUUUCUGUCCACAUCAGUUGACCUGCUGGUUUUCCUGCCCUGCUUUCAGCACUCCUUCCUGCCAGGCAUAGAUGAGAUGUCCGGGAGUCCUUGGAGAGGCCACAGUAGCCCGAGAACUUCUCAGGCCUCCCUACGUGCCACGCCCCAGUGACUUUUGUUUUGUUUUGUUUUACUGGUUUUUCUAGCUUCUGUGUUUCGAUGUACACCUUCGAUGUUUUUUUUUUUCAUUUCUCAUGUCCUGGUGAGUCCUAUCAACUCCAGGCAGGGAGGGAGUAGCUCUAAGGUACAGAGGAAGAGAAGUCAGGGGAGUCCCCGGCUGUGAGGAGCCCUUGGUGCAGGUUUCUCAGCAUUGGCUCUGUUGCCCGUGGGACCAGAUUGUUCUUUUCUGGAGCAGGCUGUCCUGUGCCCUGUAUGGGGCUGAGCAGCAACCCCGGCCGCCUCUGCCCUACACCGUGUGUCAACCUGGAAGUGUCUCCGCACAUCGCUAAGUGCCCACUGCGAGACCGAAUCAGCCUCACUGAGAACACAAGUCUAAGAGGAAGACAGACGUGUGCCAUGAUGUGGGGUGUGUGCCCCCAGAAAGGCCAGGGCGGCAUGGUGGGAAGAAUGUCCCCUUGCGGGGGUUACAGCCUUCUGAGUCAGCAUCCUCUUGGAGCUGGUAAAGCGGGCCUCAGUUGUAACGUCACUCCCCAGAGGCCGCUCUGCUCCCACCCCUGGUUGUUCUCCUGUCACCCAGUUUUGUAUAUUGUAAAAUGGCAAAGCUCGGGUUUGAAAUUCAAAACCUGCUGUGUCUUGAUCUGGCUUGCCCUGCAGACUGAGUCCAGAUCAGGCAGGACCCUUGUCUGGCUGCUUCACAACCAUGUCCCUCUUCUGGGGUGGUGUGUGGCAAGUGUUGGAGGUGCAAGACGCAGCGUGUCAGUGGGAAGGUGACGACUCUCAGCUCCGGUGUUCCGUUCAGAGCCACCCCUGCCUCUUGGGAGCCCGCCCCUUCAGGGUCGGCUGCAGCAGCAGCCAGCUUGAACACAGUCCCUCACGGAGCAGGUGUCAACCACCUCUUCUGCUUCAGGCUGGGUUUUAUCCAGAGUCCCUGCUCUUGGGCAUGCGCACAUCAAAGCAGGGACCCUCGAGAUACAGGUAGACAUGGGGCACCUGGGUGGCUCAGUGGGUCAAAGCCUCUGCCUUUGGCUCGGGUCAUGAUCCCAAGGUCCUGGGAUCAAGCCCCACAUCAGGCUCUCCGUUCAGCAGGGAGCCUGCUUCCUCUCUCUCUGCCUGUCUCUGCCUACUUGUGAUCUCUGUCUGUCAAAAAAAAAAAAAAAGAUACAGGUAGACAGACAAGAGAUACACGAGGGACUUUAGUGAGGGAAGGGGGCCAGGGCUUGAGGGGCUGAGGGCAGAGGCCACGGGAGAGAUCAGAACCCUGCCUGUGUCUUGGGGCAGGGGUUUCCCAGGCCAGGUCUGAAGGCCUGAGGUGAUGAGUGAGCGCUUAAGAAACAGCCAGGGAGCCUGUGAGGUUGGGGGGAGAGGGGGAUACAGGGGUGAGUGUAGGGGAGAGAGUCAGGAGUCAGGAACCUGUGGAGAGUUCCAGAAAGGCCACUCUGGCUGGGGUGCCAGAAGUGGACUGGGGGGCAAGAGAGGAUCUGGGGGCCAGGGAGGGGUCCUUGGUGAUCCAGGCAGUGAGCAGCGUUGUGGCCCUGGGGACGAGGAGUCCGUGAGAGUGGGAAGUGCAGGGAGAUUCCAGGAUGCCUCAGCCUCUGGGUGAAGGUGGCAGCACCUGCGGUGAGGGAGGCCUAGGAGCAGUGGGGGCGGCAGGGAAGCUGCUCUGCGUUUGGAAUGUGCUGUUUGAUGAGGGGUCUCACACGCAUCCAGGAGGGGCUGCGGCCACUCAGAGGGUGGUCUGUGCAGGGUUGCUCCCUGGUGUCUAGUAGGACUAUACCAGACUAUGCCUGAAUGAAGCCACUCCCGGCAGGCACAGAUGAGAAAAAUCUGGAUUAUUCUGGAAGGUUUAGAGCAGGGUUUGGCCCAGGAGCCAAAGCCAGCUUAUAUUUGUAUGGAGAGUGGUUUUUACAUAUUCCAGAGAUUAUAUUAAAAAUGUUUUUAAAUUGUGACAAGAUUCAUGAUAACAUAAAUGGAUUUUUUUGUAACUGAAGUAUAUAAUUCGGCGGGUUUGCGCAUACUUACCUUAUCUUACAACCAUCCCCCCCUCAAUCCCGGAACAUUUUUAUCACCCUGGAAAGAAACUGUAUCUCACAGUUCUCCUCUCCCAGCAGCCCCUGGCAACCGCUAAUCCACUUUGUCUUUGCAGACUUGCCUGUUCCGGACAUUUCGUUUCAGUGGAAUCCUAUGUAACUUCUUGUGUCUAGGUUCCUCUGCUCAGCAUUACGGUGUCGAGGUUCACCCUCACUGUGGCCUGUGGGUCCGAGCUACAUUCCUUUCUGUAGUUGAAGAAAUGUCCAUCGCAGCAAUGCUGCACGUGUGUUUAUCCAUUCCCGGUAGCCGUUUGAGUCGUUUGCAUGGCUGUUUGCGAUUCUUGGGUCCAUACCUGAAAGCGGAGUUGCCGGGUCACGUGGUAACUAUGUUUAACUUACAGAGGAACCGCCAGGCUGCUGGCCAGAGCAGCUGCCCCAUUACCGUCGGGUCCUCAUUGCCAAGCCCUGGCCUUGCGGAGGCUUUUCCAUCUUGUCCCCACGCUUCAGUCCAGGGUGUGGGAGAGGGGUACGCGGAGCUUGAAAAUGCCCCCCGAGGAGGGGUGGGGAGCUCCAAUGAGCUCUCAGCCUCCUCUGAAACAAAACUCCACCCCAGGGCUGCUCCCUCUCCCACCUCUCCCUGGCUCCUUCUAGCUCCUUCUGCUGCCAGGCCAGCACACCUGGAAGGAAUGUGGUAAUCAGCAAGACAGUCCCCAGAGGGCCUUAGGAUGUAUCCCACUGCCAGGGAGAGGUGGUGUUCAGAGUUGUAGCUGCUGUGGGUCUUUUGUGUCUCUGCUUGUCUUGCCUCAGAUUUUUCUAGAACGUCUCUGUACCCACAGUUCAGGCUGAAUUGUGCCCUCUCCCCAACCACCGCCCCCAAUCCCAGUUCAUAUGUUGAAGUCCUAACCUUCAGUACUCAGAAUGUGAUUGUUUUUUGAGACCUUCACAGAGGUCAUUAAUGUAAAAUGAGCCCCUUAGGGUGUCCCCUGAUCCAGUCCGACGGGUGUCCUUACAAGAAGAGGACAUUUGGACACAUGGACCAACCCGACCCUCCAGCAGAGGGACAAUCAUGUGAGGACACACAAGAUGACUGCCCACAAGCCACCUCUGCUGAACCUUGAUCUUGGACUUCAGCCUCCAGGACUGUGAGGAAAUACAUUUCUGUCGUGUAAGCUGCCCGGUCUCUGGUGUUUCCUUAUGGCAGCCCGAGCACAGCAGUACACACCCACCACGGUGAGAGCGAGUGUGCCCAGCGAGUGCAUCUGUCCUGAUGACGGCCCUGCUCCUUUGUGCCUGCCGUUCCCCAUCCUGCUGGAGCCUUCGGGUCUGAACUUGGUGCCCUGUGCCUUCCAAGCACGAAUGGAAGCACCAAGCUGUUUGUUCCUUCAUCCGUGCGUCUGAUGAUUCCCAGCAGUGGCUGGGGCCCACUCUGUUCCAAACACUGUUCUGGGCACCUGGGCUAUGGCAGUGAACAGUGUGGAUAUUUGCCGUCUGGUCAGGGGUAGACAAGAUGAAGACAAAAUAUGUGUGUGUGAGAAGGUGACAUGUGCCACAGAGGAAGGUGGAGCAAGAAAGGGGCUCGGCGUGCUGGCAAAUGGAGGCCAUUUUGGUUUGGUGCAGAUCGUUCUGGAAGACUUGCUGAGAAGGUGCCCUCUAACAGACCCCUGGAGCUGUGCUGGAGGGUCCCUGGCCUGCUCCAGAACCAGCCCCUGUGUGUGUUGGACCCGCAGGAUACUGUAGGAGGUGGGGGGCACCCCUAACAGCCCAGUUGUGGUUUGCAGGGAGUCAUUAGAACCACACAUGAAGUUUCAGUUUAGAAACAAACACCCCCUCCUUCAAGGACAGUGGGGUCAGUCCCACGCCAGAUCAGAAUUCGGAGUGUCUAGGAGAGAGAAGUGUGUGUCUGUUUUCUGUCUUUGUGUGGCUAGAAAAGACUGCAGAGGGAGGGCAAGCACGAUGACCAGUCAGCCCCUGUCUCUUCUCUCCGGUGGCUACCCCUGAUUUAACACUGCGAGUCCCAUGGUCCUGGACAACCUGGUUGGUGGUGGCCCCACUCACCUCCAGGGUCCCCACUUGGCCCGGCACUGCUGACAGCAGGAGCCCCAAACUCCAGGGGGAUUAAACAAUCCACUUGCCGUGUA
Molecule: long non-coding RNA, 4896 nt
Organism: Mustela lutreola (European mink)
Lineage: Eukaryota; Metazoa; Chordata; Mammalia; Carnivora; Mustelidae
Exons: 2
Source: RefSeq, a predicted model, not a curated record